UUAAAUUGAAGAGUUUGAUCAUGGCUCAGAUUGAACGCUGGCGGCAGGCCUAACACAUGCAAGUCGAACGGUAACAGGAAGAAGCUUGCUUCUUUGCUGACGAGUGGCGGACGGGUGAGUAAUGUCUGGGAAACUGCCUGAUGGAGGGGG
Molecule: ribosomal RNA, 150 nt
Filed under: Escherichia coli
Lineage: Bacteria; Pseudomonadati; Pseudomonadota; Gammaproteobacteria; Enterobacterales; Enterobacteriaceae
Also listed under: 1 other name
Description: partial 16S ribosomal RNA
Rfam family: Bacterial small subunit ribosomal RNA
Source: RNAcentral